GUUUACCCUCUCUUUCUCCUCUCACAUUGCAGGGGAAAAUUCUAAUUUUAAACUCAUAAAAAUCUAAUCUUUUUUGCAUCUUCUCGAGCCGAGCUUAAGCUCGCAGAAGAGGGCAAAACAUUAGCUUCUUCUCACUUGAUUUAUUGUGGAGCUAGAUAGUUUGCUCAGGUAUCAUAGCUUUCUUAGCUGAGAUCUCGGAAGAAAAGCACCAAUUUUCACUGAAAUAGGUAAGUUAAUGCUUAUGCGAAGACCCACUUUGUUUUCCUCGAGCUUUCAUAUCUUUGAUUUACUUCAUUGUGAACAGUAUGAAUGGGGGUUUGAAAUGGUUUACUUCAUUUUAUGGGUUUCUUUUUGCUUAGGGUUUGAAUCUUUGGAUUAACUAAUUAUUAUAAAUGUCAAUUAUUAUUAUUUCCUGGUGGUGUUUGUACUUCUUGUAGUUGAGAGGGAGUAUAGGAGGAAAUGGAAGGAAAGGAGCACGGGUUGAUGCUGGCAUGUGUCAUUUUGGGGACCCUUUUCUUUGUUAUGGGUUCUGCUUUUUUAGCUAGGGUAUGAUUGGUGAAUUGGAGGCCGUGGCUGAUAUAUAGGUGAUUAUUCUUUUUCAAUAUGAUGAUUAUCUCUAAUUAUUUUCUGUUUAUAUAUGGAAAGGAUACUUGAGGCCUCUUUCAUCUAUUUCUAUAUGAAAGCAAAACUGAAGAUAAUAGUAUCGUGUUAAAGAACCUUAAAUAACCCCAAACUGUACAAUAAGUGCCAUAGCCUGAAAUGACCAACAUGGAUAGGACGAAGUGGACUUCUAACCUAUUACGAUUGUGACAUGAAAUCAUACAAUGAGCGGAAACAAGGAGGUGGAAAUGGAGUCUGGAAGUUUGGUGGUAAUUUAAGGUCGUCUUCCAUUUGGAAGCCAUUUGCAAGAAAAACUAAAUCAUUCAUGAGUUCAGUUUCAAGGAAUUCAUCAUGCGUUGAGAAGUCUCUUGAUAAUUUGUUGAGAGAGCAUGAUAUUUCGCACGACUUUAAUGACACAAUCCGUAAGCAACCACUUCAAAUAUCUAAUAUUGUUGUUACAGUGUCAAAAAGAAUUUAAAAGCGGUUUUUCUUUUUUUUGCAGGGUACUUCUCAAUUCUUGCACGUGAACUCCUUUUUAAUAAGAGCCGAGAGGAUAUUCUAGCGAUAAGUGACUAUUACCUUGUUUUCUAGGUGUGAAGCUAUGAUUAAAUCCAUCAUUAGUUCCUUAGCUCAUAUGCUGCCGCUUUUUGAAUUAAUUGUUUAUGUUGAACUAAUAAUAUAUGAUGUAAAGGUGCCACUAACUAAUUGUGUUAUGUGAUAAUAUGAAGUAGUUGAAGAAUCCUUUUGAAUACAUCAGAAAGGGACAAAUAAUGAAAAUAUGCUUAUGUGUCUAUACAGAUUCUUGGUUCUCUAAUUUUUUUCGAUCAGACAACUAUGAGUCAAGUAGUGUCAUAAAUUCAACUCUUAAUUUCCUAGAAAUAUAGUCAUUAGAAAUGUCAAAAGCUGUACACUAAAAAGUAUAAAACGCUUGAAUGGUUGCUACCCUUAAUAAAGCAAAUGAAGUAAUCUUUUGUGUGCUUCUGAGUUCUGGAUUUCUUUCUUGAAUUGUGUAUUUUUUUGUGAUGUUAAUUUGUGAGCUAAUUAGAUAUGCAAUAAGAUAUAAAACUUUCUGAACUUGUUGAUGGAUCAUACUUGCAACAUAUGAAAUAUUAGAAUUGAUAAAUUUCCUAAAAUCAUGUUAAAAUCGAUAGCUUUCACAAACUAUGUAUCAUUUUUUUGAAUUGGAAGCAAGUUGUUGUCUCAUAUUUAGUUUAACUACGUGUAGGAUAGGACAACUAUGUUUUUAAAGAUUCAAAUCCUCGUGUAAAUAUUUGUAACUCUUCUAUGCAAAUAUAAUGGAUUGGUUGUAACCAAUUAAAUAUGUUCUUUACAAUAUCAAUUGGUGUGGACAUUUUAUCUUGCCUUUCAGUCAUCAAAUCCUCUCUGUACCUUCUUAUUGGGCCAUCUGUCAUGUUUAAAUGUAUUUACUUCAAUCUCCUUACUAGAUCGGUAUGAUUUGAUUUCCACUUUCAUUGAAUCGAAACUUCUACCUUUUCAAUGUGAAGUUGUCUACGUAAGCACAUUAUAUUAAAAUAUGUUGAUGCUUUCAUUUGAUGCAUAAUUGGAUAAUUUGGUGACCUCGACUUUUGGCUUAUUGUGAACUGCUAUUGCAAUUUGAGGAUUGAUAAUUUGGGUCUUUCUAGAUUUAAUGAUUUAUAUUGCAGCAUGGAAUGCGUGCCCUGCUGGCUGAUAAAAUGGGACUUGGAAAGACUCUUCAGGUAUUAAAUCUUUUAUACUGUAAUACAUCUCAACUCAUUUCGUUGGAUUGGCUAAUGGGGAUGGGCUCAUAAUUUCCUUUGAGCUUCUGUUUUACAUGGUUGUGCAAGUUUCAGCUAUCUGUGAAAUUCGUUUCCAAAAAAUCAACAAUUACUGAACUACUUUUAUCAUGAACUACGUUGUUUAACAUUUAACGCAAGAUUUUUCAUGCUAAAGAUUGUUGUUCUGUGCUAAUUUAAUACAAGAUUUUUCAUGCUAAAAAUUUUGUUCCUUUUGUCCUGUAAAGUUUUGCAUGGGACUUGACUAUCCAUGUACCUUAUUUGAUUUAGAGGUUUUAUUGAAUAGUUGUUUUGAUUUCUAUAAUUGCUAUUUUCAAAAUGGAGAUUAGAUCUGCAAUAGUUUGGUUAUAUUGUUGAUGCAUGAUAUCCCGUCUAAAAGUAGUUAAAACUAAGGGGGAAAUUCCAAGAUGAAUUUUUUAGUAAUAUGUUAUGUUUAGGUUCAUAAUCCAUUUAGCUUUGUGAAUCCAAUAAUUAGAUGCGUCCUGCAGUGAGAGAACUUAUAUUCAGAUUCAAACUCAUUUGAGAAUAACUGCUUUUACAAUUGUAACUAAACUGUACCUUCAGGAUUUACUACUGGUUAGUUUUAAAGAUUAAAUCUGUUUGAGAUAUCAAAGUAGAAUAGUUAUAGCAGAUUAUCUCUUGGCUCUUGCGAAUGUCAAAAGAUUUUGAAGCAUGUAUUAACUUUAGUAAUUUCCUUUGGCAUGAAAACUUAGUAGAGCCCAAAAAAAAUUAAAUAUCCGAUCACAACUGCAGGCAAUUGAUGUGAGGAAAGAUUCUAGCAAGGCAGCUCUAAUCGCCGACAGUGAAAGGUCGGUGAUCUUGUGCUUGCAAAGGGUCAAAGGAUUUCAAACAUGACUAGCUAUGGUAAUCCCUUCAUUUUUACACCAAGCUUUGUUUUUGGUUUUUUUCUCCUGUUAUUGAAUUAGAAUUUAGUGUAUCAUGCUAAUUUUCUUAGAUUUUUACUGUUCUUGGGUGUUGAAGUCAAUUAUAAGGUUUCUUCAUAUCUUUUGUUAACUACGGAUCUGACUUGGAAAUCAUACAUUUCACUCUUUCAAUUUUCUUAUGAGUAGGAGCAUGUUCUUUGGAGUUGACAAUGUAAGUAAUAAUAUACGUUUCCAAUAAAAAAUUGACAAAAUGAUAUUUGGGCAUCCCAUAUAGUUUGUGUAUGAAUUCACAUCCGAGUAAUUUUUGUCUACAAUGGAACUACAAUGGUGUACAACAUAAAUUUAGGAUACUUAAAAAUAUAAAAUUAUAGGUACCACUGCUCAAGUUUGUCAUUAAAAUAGAGAACUGCUCUAAGUUUUUGAUUUGUUAUUCUUCAGGUUUAUAUUCCUUGAUGGAUCUGUCAUCUAGAUGUAGAAAACAAAUUUCUUGCUUGCAUGGGUUUAUUAGUCCGAUCUAUGUAGAUGAAAAUUAGAAGAUUUUAUUUCAUAUUUUUCAUAUCAAAAUGGAGCAUGUAGCAGAUGGUAUAAAGAUGAUUGCUAAUCACAAAGAGCUCCUGUUUUGAGGACUCUCUUUCUCUAAACCUAUCAUUCCCCUUCCUAUUCUGUUACUUAUGUAACAUCUCUGAAUUUAUUAACAACACCAUUCCCACACUGACGGAAGUGGUUGUAUUCAAAUAAACAUCUUCAUCAUAAGCUACACUUUCUUGAGUUCUGUAGCUUUUAAUGUGCUUUGACAUCUCAUUUAUUGUCUACCUGUUUUUUACUAAAUAUUGAGUCGCAAAACUAUCAAGGUGUUUAUAAUCCAGUUACCUCAAUCCAUGUUUUUUUCUUGCUGGAUCAAGUUCCAUUGUAUUUUGUAACUAAAGUUAAAUAAUAUUGUAUUGAUUAGAAAUCACGAACUUCACUUUAUUUAUGCACCACGCACUCAGUAUUUUUUUUUUUUUUUUUUUUUUCCAGUCGAUUGCAAGUAUGGCCUGUUUAGAUUUUCCUUAGGAACAUAUUCCACUUUUGGAUGUCCAUCAAUAUACGAAUUGAUGGCCUAUCUAGACUUUCCUUAGGAACAUGUUCCACUUUUGGAAAUCCGGAGGAAGAUGUAUGAUAGUGAUAGAAAUUCCACUACCAUGCUCGAAGCUUGUCCCCCAAUAGAAGUUGUAACAAUAUUUUUGGAGGCUUUUUCAAGAAAUAACUUGAGCUACAAAGAAUUAUGCAAAAGAAAACGCUCUCUUUACUGAGAUGAUGAAGAGAAUGAUUUUCUAUAUAGAAUGUAGCACUUCUGUUCAAUAAAAUGUCAGUAUAAUAAGACUGUAAACAUUUCCUGCAUUUUUUUUAAAAUUUGAUUGAUUAUAGAUAAUUUUAUCCUAAUUCUUAUUUAGUCGGUUGAUUUCUAUCUAGGAUGCCAAAGUUAUUUUUGAACCCAAAUUUGAUGAUUGUUUGUAAAUGAUACAAGGCUAUUUGUAUUGCAGUCACAGCGUGCAAGGAAAGCUGGUCACGGUGUAAUGACAGCCAAAUUUGAUCUAAAAUCCCUAUCAUAUGCACUGGUAAAACCUGAAAAAUGCUCAGACUGCUUCCUCUGUGGUUUUUUAAAAUCAUUUUUUUUUUUUUUUUUUACCUUUUACAUUGUUUAGAUUUACUCCACCUUAUUAAUGAAUCCUAUAUAUUAAUAAAUAAUUAUGGCUCCUUUCUAUGCUUAAGCUUUUAAGGGGAGGCGUUUUUUAAGCUUGCCUCUAGGGAUUGAAUGAACAAAAGACAAUUACAUAAAUGCCAACUUAAAAGUUCAGCUUAGGUCUCAAAAUCUCAAUUACGGCCUUGGUUGAGUUAUUCUGUAAAUAUGAAUGUAUGAUUAGUGAAUGUAGGAAUUUGUUGUGUUUCAUGUAAUCUAGGAUUUUGUUCUUCCUUUUGGUGUAUUAUUAUUAUAAUUUUUUUUUUUGGGGUUUUGAUCUUUCCAAGGUCGUUAACGAAGUUCUUGAUAUCAGACGAUGUCCAGGUAUCUCUCUCUCUAGCAAUCCUGAAUUCAAAAACUAUGAAUUUUCAAAUACUAACUUUUCUAUAUUGUAUGUUAAGGAAAUUCUAUCCAAAUGAGUGAUGGAGUUGGAGCUGUGUUUCUAAUGAAGAAACGUGUUACAAUGCAGAAAGGAAUUCCAAUCCUUCGUGUAUUCAGGUGCUUAUCUUAUGUAACUAUUUUUUUUUUUUUUUUUUUGUAUAUCCAUCCUAUUAAGUAGCCAACUAUACUAUAG
This 5553-nucleotide long non-coding RNA is filed under the name Olea europaea subsp. europaea. The record is from RNAcentral. Lineage: Eukaryota; Viridiplantae; Streptophyta; Magnoliopsida; Lamiales; Oleaceae.